GGUUUAGUAGUGUAGUGGUUAUCACGUCUGUUUCACCCACAGAAUGUCGCGAGUUCGAAUCUCGCCUGAACCU
The sequence is a transfer RNA, 73 nucleotides long. It matches the Rfam family "tRNA". From Rfam's summary of the family: Transfer RNA (tRNA) molecules are approximately 80 nucleotides in length. Their secondary structure includes four short double-helical elements and three loops (D, anti-codon, and T loops).